GACGAACGCUGGCGGCAUGCCUAAUACAUGCAAGUCGAGCGAACAGAUGAAGUGCUUGCACUUCUGACGUUAGCGGCGAACGGGUGAGUAACACGUAAGGAAUCUACCUAUAAGCGGGGGAUAACAUUCGGAAACGGGUGCUAAUACCGCAUAAUAUCUUCUUCCGCAUGGAAGAAGAUUGAAAAACGGCUCUGCUGUCACUUAUAGAUGACCUUGCGGUGCAUUAGUUAGUUGGUGGGGUAACGGCCUACCAAGACGAUGAUGAAUAGCCGACCUGAGAGGGUGAUCGGCCACAUUGGGACUGAGACACGGCCCAAACUCCUACGGGAGGCAGCAGUAGGGAAUCUUCCGCAAUGGGCGAAAGCCUGACGGAGCAAUGCCGCGUGAGUGAAGAAGGCCUUCGGGUCGUAAAACUCUGUUAUAAGAGAAGAACAAAUUGUAGAGUAACUGCUACAGUCUUGACGGUAUCUUAUCAGAAAGCCACGGCUAACUACGUGCCAGCCGCCGCAGUAA
RNAcentral lists this ribosomal RNA (513 nucleotides) under uncultured bacterium. RNAcentral's name for it is "partial 16S ribosomal RNA". It matches the Rfam family "Bacterial small subunit ribosomal RNA", at positions 28 to 523 of the family's 1533-position model. The record is from RNAcentral.